RNAcentral lists this ribosomal RNA (253 nucleotides) under uncultured bacterium. Its description in RNAcentral is "partial 16S ribosomal RNA". It matches the Rfam family "Bacterial small subunit ribosomal RNA", at positions 524 to 776 of the family's 1533-position model. The record is from RNAcentral.
UACGUAGGGUGCAGGCGUUAAUCGGAAUUACUGGGCGUAAAGCGUGCGCAGGCGGUUAUGUAAGACAGGUGUGAAAUCCCCGGGCUUAACCUGGGAACUGCAUUUGUGACUGCAUAGCUAGAGUACGGUAGAGGGGGAUGGAAUUCCGCGUGUAGCAGUGAAAUGCGUAGAUAUGCGGAGGAACACCGAUGGCGAAGGCAAUCCCCUGGACCUGUACUGACGCUCAUGCACGAAAGCGUGGGGAGCAAACGGG